Oreochromis aureus is the source of this 881-nucleotide long non-coding RNA. The record is from Ensembl. NCBI's taxonomy places the organism in Eukaryota, Metazoa, Chordata, Actinopteri, Cichliformes, Cichlidae.
GCAUCCCUUUGAUUCUCACUUCUUCUUGUAUCAUAAACACUAAAAAUACCUAAGUGACCCUCUGGAGAGGAUGUGCAUGUUCAGCUUUUAGCUCGGAGCAGCAAACUCGCUGACAUCACAGUGUCCCGAGCAGGUGGAGGACGCCACGAGCGCUGUUUCUGGCUUUCAUCUCCAGUUGCCUGUGUGUGUGUGUGUGUGUGUGUGUGUGUGUGUGUGUGAGCUGAUAAUAGCAGCUCCAUUGGUAUUCAGCGGAGGGAGCUCCAGGAUCUCGCUGCGCCUUUCCCCAGGAUGGGAUCACAGAGCAGGGAUUGUGCUUGCCUGUGGAGAGCCCACUGAAAUGGAUCUGAAGCCUCGCAGAGAUGGGCACCAAAUGGACAGCAUGGAAGCCAACAUCCACCCUCCAGCGACCAGCUUUCCACGGCUAGCUGCCUCCACCAUCUCCUGCCAUCAGCUCGAACCAUCCGAGCGAGGGCUGAGUCUGCAGAGUUGAGCCUGGACCAGCCGUCUACCGAAAGCAGAGAUAAGCAGAGGGCGACAGGCCUCGGAGGAGUCAACGCGCAACAAGCCAGUCGGCGUGUUGAGCGCACAAUUGAGCUUCUUGGACUUCAUCUAAAAUGAAAUAGGCUGCAGUGAUGCUUGAGCAAUGGUACGGAGCUUUUGGAUAUGUCCGGAUUUAUCAGCCGGAUAUAUUUUUGAGAUUACGACACUUUGGUGCACACCUCAGAGCUCAGCCACUUUUUCCAGAUUGGCUUGUGGGCAAAAGCGAGUAAUUGAAAAUCCCCCCUCGAGAGGCGCUCUGUUUUGAUUUGUUGCGGGGGAGGAGGGCCUAUCGUUAUUGUUUUUUUUCUUCUUUUUUUUUUCGAGGAACAAUUUCCAAAAAC